This 136-nucleotide small nuclear RNA is filed under the name Sphenodon punctatus (tuatara). Its description in RNAcentral is "U2 spliceosomal RNA (ENSSPUG00000008208.1)". The stretch from base 1 to 98 matches the Rfam family "U2 spliceosomal RNA". Rfam says of the family: U2 is a small nuclear RNA (snRNA) component of the spliceosome (involved in pre-mRNA splicing). Complementary binding between U2 snRNA (in an area lying towards the 5' end but 3' to hairpin I) and the branchpoint sequence (BPS) of the intron results the bulging out of an unpaired adenosine, on the BPS, which initiates a nucleophilic attack at the intronic 5' splice site, thus starting the first of two transesterification reactions that mediate splicing. Lineage: Eukaryota; Metazoa; Chordata; Lepidosauria; Sphenodontia; Sphenodontidae. The record is from RNAcentral.
AUUGCUUCUGGGCUCUAUGAGCUAAGAUCAAAUGUAAUAUCUGUUCUUAUCAGUUUAAUAUCUGAUAGUUCUGGAUUCCAUAAGAAGCAGAAGCUCCUGGCUUGAUGCUUUAUCUUCCCAGAAACCUGCACCAAAA